UCAGACGGUAGCUUUUUCAUUUUGUUUCGAGAUGGUCACGAUUGAAUCAUACCACACCGCAAAAUGGACACAUCAUUAGAUGGUCUUUGAUAUUCAGAACAGCAGUGAAACAAUGUGAGAACAAAAACAGAGCCACGAAUUUAUCUCUGUUGGGGUGAAGCUGUUCACCACAGAUGGCAUCAUGAUGGUCAAACCACAAGCGAACCAGCGAGUUAACAGUGGAACAAAAAUGUGGGGUUUGUAUGUUACCUCAUACCCUCGCAGCACAACCAUCCAAUUCCAACUGCAGGGGCUGCUAUAAUCAUGCUUACGUAACAAGUCCUACAUUCUGUACACUAUGUUUGGCCUCUCCAAAAUCCAUUUGGGGGUCCUAAGGAAAUCUGUUUCUUAUCGGCGCUGACCGAUAUGUUGAACGAAAAGCCAAAUAAUAAGUACGGGUUCUGGAAAACAGACAUUAAAUUGAUGACUCAAAAAGCACGUUAUUGAUAACUGUAUAGAC
Molecule: long non-coding RNA, 499 nt
Organism: Synchiropus splendidus (mandarinfish)
Lineage: Eukaryota; Metazoa; Chordata; Actinopteri; Syngnathiformes; Callionymidae
Exons: 3
Source: RefSeq, a predicted model, not a curated record